RNAcentral lists this long non-coding RNA (716 nucleotides) under Physcomitrium patens. Its description in RNAcentral is "long non-coding RNA (PPAT_LNC013568)". The record is from RNAcentral. Lineage: Eukaryota; Viridiplantae; Streptophyta; Bryopsida; Funariales; Funariaceae.
UUAGGGUUUAGGAUUUGGUUAGGAUUUGAUUUAGGAUUUGAAUUAGGGUUUGGAUUAGGAUUUGGUUAGGGUUUGAUUUAAGGUUUGGUUUAGGAUUUAGGAUUUAGAUUAGAGUUUAGGGUUGGAUUAGGGUUUAGAUUAGGGUUUAGGAUUUAGUUAGAGUUUGAUUUAGGAUUUGGAUUAGGGUUUGGUUAGGAUUUGAUUUAAAGUUUGGUUUAGGGUUUAGGGUUGGAUUAGGGUUUGGUUUAGGGUUUGAUUUAGAGUUUGGUUUAGGGUUUAGGGUUUAGGGUUUGGAAUAGGAUUUAAUUUAAGAUUUAUUUAGGAUUUGACUUAGGAUUUAGGAAUUAUUAGGGUUUAAGAUUUAAUUAAGUUUGGUCUAAAGUUGAGUGAAAUUCAAUAGGAUUUUAACUAGAAUUAAAUUAAGGUUGAAUUGACAUAUAUUUGAGUAAAAUUUGUGAUCAUUCUAAUAUUUCUUUAAGAAUUUUAUUGUUUGUUUGAAAUUUCUUUGAGUUUUUUUGAAUUGAAUUAUGUUUGUUUACCAUUAUUAUAAUCUAAUUAGAGCAUCGUUAGUAUUCUAUUUAGGAUUUUGUUAUUGCAAUUUCUAUUCUUCCUUCUAUAGCUAGGUGCUCGGAGCAUUCUCAAGCAAGACUUCACACAUUAUGACAACGGUUGCAAUAAUAAAGUAGUAAUGACUGCUUCCUUCAACCUAUCAAAGA